GGGUCAGUAGGUUGGUCGUGCCACCGGUACGUACUGGUCUCACUGAUUCGUCCUUCCUGAAGAACCGUAAUGCCAUUAAUUUGGUGUUGCGGGGAAACAGGACUGUUACUUUGAAAAAAUUAGAGUGUUUAAAGCAAGCUAACGCUUGAAUACAUUAGCAUGGAAUAAUGAAAUAGGACGAUCGAUCCUAUUUUGUUGGUUUCUAGGAUUGACGUA
This 216-nucleotide ribosomal RNA is filed under the name Glomeromycotina sp. RNAcentral describes it as "partial small subunit ribosomal RNA". The stretch from base 40 to 216 matches the Rfam family "Eukaryotic small subunit ribosomal RNA", at positions 686 to 864 of the family's 1831-position model. The record is from RNAcentral. Lineage: Eukaryota; Fungi; Glomeromycota.